Molecule: ribosomal RNA, 980 nt
Filed under: Haladaptatus paucihalophilus
Lineage: Archaea; Methanobacteriati; Methanobacteriota; Halobacteria; Halobacteriales; Haladaptataceae
Description: bacterial SSU rRNA
Rfam family: Archaeal small subunit ribosomal RNA
Source: RNAcentral
GGUCAUUGCUAUUGGAGUUCGAUUUAGCCAUGCGUUGCACGAGUUUAGACUCGUGGCGGAAAGCUCAGUAACACGUGAUCAAACUACCCUAUGGAUUCGAAUAACCUCGGGAAACUGAGGCUAAUUCGGAAUAAGGCUCCAUCGCUGGAAUGCGUGGAGCUGGAAAUGCUCCGGUGCCAUAGGAUGUGAUUGCGGCCGAUUAGGUAGACGGUGGGGUAACGGCCCACCGUGCCGAUAAUCGGUACGGGUUGUGAGAGCAAGAGCCCGGAGAUGGAUUCUGAGACAAGAAUCCAGGCCCUACGGGGCGCAGCAGGCGCGAAAACUUUACACUGCACGACAGUGCGAUAAGGGAACUCCAAGUGCGAGGGCAUAACGUCCUCGCUUUUGUGUAUCGUAAGGUGGUACACGAAUAAGAGCUGGGCAAGACCGGUGCCAGCCGCCGCGGUAAUACCGGCAGCUCAAGUGAUGACCAAUUUUAUUGGGCCUAAAGCGUCCGUAGCCGGCCAGACAGGUCCGUCGGGGAAAUCUGCUCGCUCAACGAGCAGGCGUCCGGCGGAAACCCGCUGGCUUGGGGCCGGAAGAUCCAAGGGGGUACGUCUGGGGUAGGAGUGAAAUCCUGUAAUCCUAGACGGACCACCGAUCGCGAAAGCACCUUGGAAGGACGGACCCGACGGUGAGGGACGAAAGCUAGGGUCACGAACCGGAUUAGAUACCCGGGUAGUCCUAGCUGUAAACGAUGCUCGCUAGGUGUGGCACAGGCUACGAGCCUGUGCUGUGCCACAGUGAAGACGUAAGCGAGCCGCCUGGGAAGUACGUCCGCAAGGAUGAAACUUAAAGGAAUUGGCGGGGGAGCACUACACCCGGAGGAGCCUGCGGUUUAAUUGGACUCAACGCCGGACAUCUUACCAGCAUCGACAAUAGCUGUGACAGUCAGUGUGAUGAGCUUACUAGAGCUUUUGAGAGGAGGUGCAUGGCCGCCG